RNAcentral lists this ribosomal RNA (235 nucleotides) under uncultured bacterium. RNAcentral's name for it is "partial 16S ribosomal RNA". It matches the Rfam family "Bacterial small subunit ribosomal RNA", at positions 96 to 334 of the family's 1533-position model. The record is from RNAcentral.
UGGCGGACGGGUGAGUAAUGUCUGGGAAACUGCCCGAUGGAGGGGGAUAACUACUGGAAACGGUAGCUAAUACCGCAUAACGUCGCAAGACCAAAGAGGGGGACCUUCGGGCCUCUUGCCAUCGGAUGUGCCCAGAUGGGAUUAGCUAGUAGGUGGGGUAACGGCUCACCUAGGCGACGAUCCCUAGCUGGUCUGAGAGGAUGACCAGCCACACUGGAACUGAGACACGGUCCGG